RNAcentral lists this ribosomal RNA (497 nucleotides) under uncultured bacterium. RNAcentral's name for it is "partial 16S ribosomal RNA". It matches the Rfam family "Bacterial small subunit ribosomal RNA", at positions 29 to 507 of the family's 1533-position model. The record is from RNAcentral.
AACGAACGCUGGCGGCGUGCCUAAUACAUGCAAGUCGAACGCUGACGCGAUGAGCUUGCUCUUCUUGGGUGAGUUGCGAACGGGUGAGUAACGCGUAGAUAACCUUCCUUUUAGCGGGGGAUAACUAUUGGAAACGAUAGCUAAUACCGCAUAACAAUGGAUGACCCAUGUCAUUUAUUUGAAAGGGGCAAAUGCUCCACUACAAGAUGGACCUGCGUUGUAUUAGCUAGUAGGUGAGGUAACGGCUCACCUAGGCGACGAUACAUAGCCGAGCUGUGAGGGUGAGCGGCCACACUGGGAAUGAGACACGGCCCAGACUCCUACAGGAGGCAGAAGUAGGGAAAAUUUGGCAAUGGGGGCAACACUGACCGAGCAACGCCGCGUGAGGGAAGAAGGUUCUCGGGUCGUAAAGCGCGGUUGUGAGUGAAGAAAGAGUGUGAGAGUGGAAAGUUCACACUGUGACGGUAGCUUACCAGAAAGGGACGGCUAACUACGUG